Molecule: ribosomal RNA, 988 nt
Filed under: Escherichia coli
Lineage: Bacteria; Pseudomonadati; Pseudomonadota; Gammaproteobacteria; Enterobacterales; Enterobacteriaceae
Description: partial 23S ribosomal RNA
Rfam family: Bacterial large subunit ribosomal RNA
Source: RNAcentral
CAUCUAAGUACCCCGAGGAAAAGAAAUCAACCGAGAUUCCCCCAGUAGCGGCGAGCGAACGGGGAGCAGCCCAGAGCCUGAAUCAGUAUGUGUGUUAGUGGAAGCGUCUGGAAAGGCGCGCGAUACAGGGUGACAGCCCCGUACACAAAAAUGCACAUGCUGUGAGCUCGAUGAGUAGGGCGGGACACGUGGUAUCCUGUCUGAAUAUGGGGGGACCAUCCUCCAAGGCUAAAUACUCCUGACUGACCGAUAGUGAACCAGUACCGUGAGGGAAAGGCGAAAAGAACCCCGGCGAGGGGAGUGAAAAAGAACCUGAAACCGUGUACGUACAAGCAGUGGGAGCACGCUUAGGCGUGUGACUGCGUACCUUUUGUAUAAUGGGUCAGCGACUUAUAUUCUGUAGCAAGGUUAACCGAAUAGGGGAGCCGAAGGGAAACCGAGUCUUAACUGGGCGUUAAGUUGCAGGGUAUAGACCCGAAACCCGGUGAUCUAGCCAUGGGCAGGUUGAAGGUUGGGUAACACUAACUGGAGGACCGAACCGACUAAUGUUGAAAAAUUAGCGGAUGACUUGUGGCUGGGGGUGAAAGGCCAAUCAAACCGGGAGAUAGCUGGUUCUCCCCGAAAGCUAUUUAGGUAGCGCCUCGUGAAUUCAUCUCCGGGGGUAGAGCACUGUUUCGGCAAGGGGGUCAUCCCGACUUACCAACCCGAUGCAAACUGCGAAUACCGGAGAAUGUUAUCACGGGAGACACACGGCGGGUGCUAACGUCCGUCGUGAAGAGGGAAACAACCCAGACCGCCAGCUAAGGUCCCAAAGUCAUGGUUAAGUGGGAAACGAUGUGGGAAGGCCCAGACAGCCAGGAUGUUGGCUUAGAAGCAGCCAUCAUUUAAAGAAAGCGUAAUAGCUCACUGGUCGAGUCGGCCUGCGCGGAAGAUGUAACGGGGCUAAACCAUGCACCGAAGCUGCGGCAGCGACGCUGAUGCGUUGUUG